UUAGCUUGUUGGCGGGGUAACGGCCCACCAAGGCUGCGAUGGGUAGCCGGCCUGAGAGGGUGAUCGGCCACAUUGGGACUGAGAUACGGCCCAGACUCCUACGGGAGGCAGCAGUAGGGAAUUUUGCGCAAUGGACGAAAGUCUGACGCAGCAAUGCCGCGUGAGUGAUGAAGGCCUUCGGGUCGUAAAGCUCUGUUGAGUGGGAAGAAACGUUCGGCGGUUAAUACCCGUCGAGCCUGACGGUACCACUCGAGGAAGCCCCGGCUAGCUACGUGCCAGCAGCCGCGGUAAUACGUAGGGGGCAAGCGUUGUUCGGAAUUACUGGGCGUAAAGGGAGCGUAGGUGGGAAAGUGAGUUAGGAGUGUAAUACGCAGGCUUAACCUGCGGCUCGCUUCUAAUACUGCUUUUCUUGAGUAUGGGAGAGGGAGACGGAAUUCCAGGUGUAGCGGUGGAAUGCGUAGAUAUCUGGAAGAACAUCAGUUGCGAAGGCGGUCUCCUGGCCCAAUACUGACACUGAGGCUCGAAAGCUAGGGGAGCAAACAGGAUUAGAUACCCUGGUAGUCCUAGCCGUAAACGAUGGACACUAGAUGUUGGGGGAGUUAUUCCUUCAGUGUCGUAGCUAACGCGUUAAGUGUCCCGCCUGGGGAGUACGCUCGCAAGGGUGAAACUCAAAGGAAUUGACGGGGGCCCGCACAAGCGGUGGAGCAUGUGCUUUAAUUCGAUGCAACGCGAAGAACCUUACCUGGGCUUGACAUGGGAGUGAAAUCCCGUAGAGAUACGGGACUUUCCUUCGGGAACACUCCACACAGGUGCUGCAUGGUUGUCGUCAGCUCGUGUCGUGAGAUGUUGGGUUAAGUCCCGCAACGAGCGCAACCCUCGCCCUUAGUUGCCAGCGGGUAAUGCCGGGAACUCUAGGGGGACUGUCUGGUACAACCAGGAGGAAGGUGGGGAUGACGUCAAAUCAUCAUGGCCCUUACGCCCAGGGCUAGACACGUGCUACAAUGGCUGGUACAACGGGCUGCAAGCUCGCGAGAGCAAGCCAAUCCCUAAAAACCAGCCUCAGUUCAGAUUGGAGUCUGCAAUUCGACUUCAUGAAGGUGGAAUCGCUAGUAAUCGCGGAUCAGCAUGCCGCGCUGAUACGUUCCCGGGCCUUGUA
This 1156-nucleotide ribosomal RNA is filed under the name uncultured organism. RNAcentral's name for it is "bacterial SSU rRNA". It matches the Rfam family "Bacterial small subunit ribosomal RNA", at positions 241 to 1385 of the family's 1533-position model. The record is from RNAcentral.